AAAAAAGGAGAGGAAAAAAGCAUAACUAUAAGCUUUCACUAGUUCAACUUCUGAACUAGGCAUAAUUCAAUUAUGAAACCUUUCCCAUAAAUAAUGACUACAAAUAUAUGAAUAUCUUAAUGGAGUUUGGUGGGUGAAACUGAACUGGGAAAUGAUUGAAGGGCCAGAGGCAGCAAGAAGAGAAAAAGAGAGAGAAGAUGGUUCCUCCAAGAAAAAGUCAGGUAAGAGCGAGUCUGGGAGAGAAGACCCCGAUUGCAGCAGUUUAUCCCAUGAACAAAACAGGUGUCCAAAUCUCAGAGAGUUGGAGAAUCUCUGAGACAAAAAAAAAUUAAUGAAAACUGAUGACUGAUGCGUGAUCAUCGUCUUAACGUAUUCUUUUAUGGCGGCCUGCUUCCCCCUUCCUUCCUCAGAAGAUCGUACUACUCUUUUUCUCUCCUGCUUUUUCUGUUUUUUCUUCUUCUCCAGCUAUGCUUUUGUAUAUAUAUAUAUAUAUUGGCUAUGGAGGAAAAUGAUCAUUCAGUCAAAAUCAAAGUUGUUCAGUACUCUUUCUUUGCUCUUAAUUAAUUUUUGUAGCUUCAAAUUCAAUGUCUAUGAAUGUGAUGGACUGUUAACAUCUCAAACUUUUAAUACUUUGGCUCAGUGAAGUCCAAAGCGACAGCAUCUUGUUCUUGUUGAUCUCUCUGAUGUUUUAUAUGUUUAUCCCUUAAGUACAGUUUCAUAAAAAUACAAGAAUUUCUUGUUAAAGACAGAAACGUUACAUGAUAGUACUUUUUACGUUACAUUUAAGAACCAAUUGCUUAACAGACGAUCUACACUUCCGCAGGAAAUCAUCCAUUGAUGGAGCAAGCAAAGCCAGUCAUUUUCACUCGAGACAGUGGCCAG
This 882-nucleotide long non-coding RNA is filed under the name Theobroma cacao (cacao). RNAcentral's name for it is "long non-coding RNA (TCAC_LNC000013)". The record is from RNAcentral. Lineage: Eukaryota; Viridiplantae; Streptophyta; Magnoliopsida; Malvales; Malvaceae.